Molecule: ribosomal RNA, 621 nt
Filed under: Triticum aestivum (bread wheat)
Lineage: Eukaryota; Viridiplantae; Streptophyta; Magnoliopsida; Poales; Poaceae
Description: partial small subunit ribosomal RNA
Source: RNAcentral
AUGGCCGAUCCAGCGGAGCACCGCGAGGAGGAGGAGGCCGCGGCGGCCGGCGAGGAAGAGGACACCGGCGCCCAAAUCGCUCCCAUAGUGAAGCUCGAGGAGGUUGCCAUCACAACCGGCGAAGAGGACGAGGACGUCCUCCUCGACAUGAAAGCGAAGCUCUACCGAUUUGACAAGGACGGGGGCCAGUGGAAGGAGCGGGGCACGGGUGCCGUCAAGCUGCUCAAGCACAAGGAGACUGCCAAGGUCCGCCUCGUCAUGCGACAGGCCAAGACCCUCAAGAUCUGCGCCAAUCACCUCGUUGUGGCCACGACGAAGAUGCAGGAGCACGCUGGGAGCGACAAGUCGUGCGUGUGGCACGCUCUGGAUUUUGCCGACUGUGAGCUCAAGGAGGAGAUGUUCGCCAUCCGCUUUGGAUCCGUGGAGAACUGCAAAAAAUUCAAGGAUCUUGUAGAUGAGAUUGCUGAGCAGCAAGGAAAGAAUGAGGAGAAAGAAAGCGAGGAAGUCUCCUCUGCUGCCGAGUUGGUAGAGAAAUUGACUGUGGCGGAGGUCAAAAAGGAGGAACAAACGGAGAAAGUGGAGACUCCUGCAGUAGAUGAUAAGAAGGAUGCUGAAAAGUGA